CCUACGGGUGGCAGCAGUGAGGAAUAUUGGUCAAUGGGCGAGAGCCUGAACCAGCCAAGUCGCGUGAAGGAUGACGGCCCUACGGGUUGUAAACUUCUUUUGUCAGGGAGCAAUUGAGUCCACGUGUGGGCUUAGCGAGAGUACCUGAAGAAAAAGCAUCGGCAAACUCCGUGCCAGCAGCCGCGGUAAUACGGAGGAUGCGAGCGUUAUCCGGAUUGAUUGGGUUUAAAGGGUGCGUAGGCGGAAUAUCAAGUCAGCGGGAAAAAUUCGGGGCUAAACCCCGUGGUGCCGGGGAAACUGAUGUGCGUGAGUGGGCGAGAAGUAUGCGGAAUGCGUGGUGUAGCGGGGAAAUGCGUAGAUAGCACGCAGAACUCCGGUGGCGAAGGCAGCAUACCGGCGCCCAACUGACGCUGAAGCACGAAAGCGUGGGUAGCGAACAGGAUUAGAUACCCCAGUAGUC
Molecule: ribosomal RNA, 460 nt
Filed under: uncultured bacterium
Lineage: Bacteria
Description: partial 16S ribosomal RNA
Rfam family: Bacterial small subunit ribosomal RNA
Source: RNAcentral